This 205-nucleotide ribosomal RNA is filed under the name Acanthocardia echinata (European prickly cockle). RNAcentral describes it as "partial 16S ribosomal RNA". It matches the Rfam family "Bacterial large subunit ribosomal RNA", at positions 2077 to 2534 of the family's 2925-position model. The record is from RNAcentral. Lineage: Eukaryota; Metazoa; Mollusca; Bivalvia; Cardiida; Cardiidae.
UAGACGAGAAGACCCCGUCGAGCUUGAUUUAUUUCAAAUUGUUAUAAUUUGAAAGAACUUUUGUUGGGGCAACAACGGAGAAUAACCUCCGUUAAUUAUGCAAAGAUCCAUAUAUUAUGACAAAAGGAAAAAGUUACCGCGGGGAUAACAGCGCAAGAUUGCUUUAGAGAUCUUAUUGAAGGCAGUAAUUGCGACCUCGAUGUUG